CGGCAUCAGCAACGGCAGCGGUAGUGGCAGCGGAGUUGGUCGAAUUUCCUAUAUAUAUUAUUGAUAAAUAGCUCGCGUCGUUGCUCGUGUGACUCUCCGCGACGGCUAGAACGGCCGACUUCGCGUUGUGCGUGGAUGUGCGUGACCUCGUUGUCGGGAGAGAGGCGUUUUCGCGCAGGAGCGUUCGAGAGUGCUCUCCUCGUGAGGAAGAAAGAAAAGUGCGGUGGUGUUUCGUGAACGAGCGACUACACGUACGACGUACCGUGACGACAGUUACGUGAAAAGAGAGAGAGAGAGAGAGAGAGAGUGAGAGGGGGGGAAGGAGAGGGCUAGAGAGACGGAGGGAGAGAACGCGCGCGCGUCGCUUCGCAAACGGAGAUCGGUGGUGGACGAGAGCAGCCGAGCGCGGACGACGGGAUUAUCGUACGUUGGGUGUGACGGGACGUGUCGCGGUUCGGCGUGGACGAUCCGGACCGGCGAACCGCACGGAUAGUGUUGUGGUACGCGAGUCCCACGAAAGGGCAGGCCCAGGCAGCGUUCCUCGCGAAAGCCUGCGGCGCUAUCCCACGAGAGAGCAUGCCGAGCCCGGCCACGAAGAGGACACACAGGAGAAAAGCGGUAUACGGGACGCGGUACACCAGAUAACUCUGAUCUAGACGGAAAUAUUUUAAUAGGAUCGCUGUUGUUUACGUCAUCUUCAUUAGCCAGCGGUGAAAGAUUGCUUUUGUGAAGUAUUGUUGUUAUUACAAAGUUCGAUUCUGGAAAAUAAUCAUCCUGAGCAACGCCAUUGUGACAAUUGCAAGCGAAUCAUCAUCAGUGAUACCGGAAUGUUUUCAUUUAUAUUGCGGGAGAAUACAGAAUACAUUUAAACGAGACGUCAAGUAUGCAACGCUUCUUCAAACGUGGAAACGAGGAAAGCAGUAUCGUCUUGUGAUAAAUAAUGGGAGUAAAUGAUCGAUAACAUGAGAGAAACUGUGGAAACGACGUAAUUACCAUGGCCGGGCAAGGGAUGGCAGGCCAAUAAAUCAGACUGUGUACUAAAAGUAAAAAGGAAACAAGCGAGGACAAAGAAAGAGACAAGUCGAAUAGUGAAUUUAGGGUGGCGGACGGUAAGGGAGGCAGGACAGAGCCGUGUAGUAAUGGAUGAAUGGGAGUGAGCGCGGUGCACGGGGAGCGCAGGAGUGGCGGGCGCGCACGUUGUGGCACGUCGUGGGAGCCUCUGGAUGUGGAGGCCGCGGCUCUGGCAGCGUCAGUGGCAGUGAUGGCCCCUGCUCUGACGGAAGGCGGUCCUCAAAAGCCUGAAAACUUGCUCCCUACCCUACCAGCAGCCGCCAGCGGCUUUCUGUCCGCCGAGCAGGCCACAGAGGUGUGCCAGAACCGUGAGAUCUUGACCAAGUUCGUAGUGCCGGCGAACGUACAACCGUCGAAGAUCGACGAGCAGUGCUUGCGCGGUAUCUCGAAGGACCUCAUACGCGAUGUCAUUAAUUCCAAAUACGCUAACGAUCUCGACUCGUUAUCCGCGUUCGCGAACGCGUCCGACUUGAUCGGAUCGAGAAACGGUGCGGCAGUGUGUCUGCAACAGCAGGCGGAACAGGAAGACUUUGAGCGGCCGGUUACGCUGCCGGACGCCGGUCACGCCGUAGGGAAGGUGAUCGACAUUAUAAUGAGCGACCCAUCUAUGGGUGAUCAAACGAACAACAUGGGUUUCUUGAAAUCGAGCGUGGACUUGCCCCUAGCGGCUACUGAGACUGAAACGGGAGACAAUAAAAAUCUGGAUGUCGAUCAGAUCAUGGCCUUUGGCACUGAUAUCACCGCCGAGCAAUGCAACAUAGGAAAUGUCGCUGAUAUCGGGCAUAAUGUUGAUGAUAUCUUGCAGGUCAUUAAUUCGAUAGAAGGUGCGGAGAAUGCCGAGAACAUUUCCGCCGGUGGUGGCGAGCCGGUACAAAGUGCUGUCGAUGGCGUGGAGAUGUUUGCCAUGCCCGAAGAGGGAUUCGCAUCCUUCGAGCGGGAUUUACUUAAUGGCGUUGACGUAAUGAGUCUCUGCAAUGAGAAUAUGAAUAUAUCGGUGGAUACGGUGGACCAACAAAAGUCUAACAAUUUAAAAUUGCAACAAGACAUUGUGGCGCAAAAGCAAUUUGAAAGUGAGAGACGAUGCGCGUUUUUACUGAGAAGACUGAGAAAACUUCAAGGAAGAAUAGUUGGCAGACACGUGGCAGAGGAGAAUACCGGCGUUCUCGAAUUGGCCCAUCACGGAGUAAAGAAAUAUCUUCUGCAAGAACUGGUCAAUAUUGGUUCAAAAUCCAAUGUGAGAAAUUUUCCUGAGAUUAGCAGUAGUUUACAUUCGUUCUUACAAAAAAUUGAGAAAAUGUGCAUUGCCCAGAGUAACAGUAUGAAUCGUCAGAGAGUGUGUUGUCGAUAUUUCGGUGGAGGGUCGCGUGAUAACGCGAGCGGCAGUACAUCCGGCAAUAAUGGCAAUCGUCAGCCGGUAUUCGGUACUCCUCAGGUUAAACUAAACGGUGAAGAAGUGGAAAGUGUGUUUGGAGCUCUGUCCACACAGUUGCACAUUGUAGAAUCUAACUUGGAUUCGGAUUGUACAGCAUCCAGUAGUGGUGGAGAAAGUUGUGACGAAAUGCAGACAUUUAACAAUCCUCAUCAACAGAAUCUACUCAUAUCCAAAAGAGCAGCAUGGAGAUAUGCACAGGAUCGUGCAGGUGUAGCAUCACGGUGGACCUGGCUACAGGCACAAAUAUCAGAUUUAGAAUACAGAAUUAGACAGCAUAAUGAUCUGCAACGGCAGAUUAGGGCCGCGAAAGGCCUGGUUGUUCUCGAAAAUGCGGAAACUGUUAACGGAUACAGUGGCGCUCUACCAGGUUCUACUGGACGAUACAAUUCGCCCGAGGGUGAAUUACCAGCUAGUAGAACGCGUCCAUUUGUAUGGAGUUAUUAUAGAAAGCGAAAGCUUUUGCAAGUGGAUAGGCUACAUGAAGUUUCAAAGCGUGCGGCUAAAGCGUCAACAGUGAGAUGCAAUUGUGAUCAUGUGUUGCCUGCGUGUGCUUUAUGUACAGGAAGGCUAGAUCCAAUGCAACCACAAGAACCAAUUGAACAACUUUCUGUACAAGAACGUGUAGCACUUGUUGAUCCUAGUUUUCAUCCAGUGUUGUCAUUCCCUGAUGAAAUUGUACAUGGAACCCAUUUAGAAGCUAUUAUGAAAUCAGUGGAAUGGCAGCAGAAAAUGUUGAGAGGCAAUUUGCGAGUUACCCGUGUGAAAGAUAAAGAUAGCAAUGAAAGAAGAAAUAAGAAACUUCCUAACAGAACAAAAUAUACCGCGCGAUUAAAGAAAUCAUCCUCGACUAUUCUUACAGCAAGAAUCAAGAGAAAAAUGUUGAAAAAUGGUAAGAGAAAUAGACUCGGCCAUUCGGAAAGAAGCGUAUCUGGAUUAAACAAGAAAAAAAUAUCAAAAUUACCAACUGAGGAUGACGACGACAUUAGCGCGCUUUCAAGUUCCAGCAAACACUCAUCCCCAGUGCCUUCUCCAUUGCAACAUGUUACUGCCUCUUCGGAGAAAAAUACUGUUAAAGAAAAAAGUUCCAAUCCACAUGGGCGUUUGCGACAGAACUCUUACGAUAUUAACAAUAUAGUCAUCCCCUAUAGUGUUGCUGCUUCAACGAGGCCUGAAAAAUUACAAUACAAAGAGAUUUUAACACCAAAAUGGAGAUUAUGUGAAGAGCCCUCGAAAAUGGAUGUGAAGAAUGGCGUAAUGCACAGGCCUGGUCAGGACAGUGAUAUUGAAGAUAUGUCGGAUGAAACAAUUGCCCUGAGGCAUGAACGUAGCGAACGCGAGGAAUAUAAACGUUUCAUGACAUAUCUUAGUAUGCCGCAUCAAACGCGUAUUCGUCACAAUCGUCGUAUCGACAGCAGAGCAGACAGUGGUGCGAACACACCAGAUCCAAUGUCACCGCACGCGAGUAGUGACUUUGGUGGAGACGUGGUAUCUCCGUUUACGUCUCCACCUGCCACUCCAUCUCAAGUGCAGGACACAGAACAGUCGUCGGGUUUGGAUUCGCAUCGACCGUCUGCUUUACAAAACUCUCUUCGACGUCGUACUAUGCCCGCUUUAAGACUGGGGAAGGAUGAUGCCGCGGUCGUAUUUACCGAAGAUGAAAAUGAGAUUUUACCGUAUGAACCAAGAAUAUUCCCAUUAUCUGAAGAAAUUUACGACAAAAUGUUGGAAGUGAUGCCGGAUGGACAUUGGCAAGCUUCGUCUACGUCUAUAUGUUCUCGCGACGAAGAUAAGGGUGAUGAUGUACGUACAUUGUACUUGUAUUGAUAUAUAUCUUCGCAUUAAAUAUCUAAGUCUGAAAAAUUUGAAUUAUAUAAAAUGUAUGUGGGUGCUAUAUAGUACUGACUAUUAAUAUACACUUUGAGCCAAUUUUCAUGGCUCCUCUCGAGGCUAUUUCCGGACAGAGAAAUGGAUUCUCCCGAAUCGGAUUCGACCGAAUCUGCUUGUUGCGACAUAGAUGGUGAGGAUCCCAAUGAUCCCGAGUGGACAGUAGGUGACGAUAGAGACACUGAAAAGGAGAGAAUACGUCCGA
RNAcentral lists this unclassified non-coding RNA (4592 nucleotides) under Camponotus floridanus (Florida carpenter ant). RNAcentral describes it as "uncharacterized LOC105254138, transcript variant X2". The record is from RNAcentral. Lineage: Eukaryota; Metazoa; Arthropoda; Insecta; Hymenoptera; Formicidae.